UGUGUUUGUGCUCAAAAUAAUAACCUUACUCUUAACAGAACCCUAAUACCGUUAACUUUUUCACUCUCUUCUGUUUUCUCUUUUUCCUCCCACCUCCCAAUCUUCAUCUUCCUUUAUCCAUAUAUCUAUAUAAUUAUCGAUGCGUGCAUCUACGACUAAUGGUAGAGAUAUGGGAGAAACCAAACAUAAAUUAAAAGUUUUAAAUUCACUAAAAUUGUAAGAUUAUCUGUACGCAUCCCUUUAUUUCUUUCUUUCAUCAUCUUUUGCUUUAGUGUUGUCCCCGAACUUUUUUAGGCGACAAAAUAAUGAUCCGCGCGCGUCGGCAUAAUCAAGCACUCGGUAUGGCUUUAGGCGUCAAGACAAAAUUGGUACAAUACACAUGCUUUUGGCAAAACUUUUUUUUUCACCUAUAAAUUAGCUUAAACUUCUUGUGGAUUUGCAUCGCCAAAUCAGAUUACUUCUAAAAAACUUACCUAUACCUCUUGUGAAUUUUGUAUUGCAAAACUAUGAAGCUGUCAAUGAAGCCCUUUGCCGCAAUUUUUCUUGUGCUCUUACUUGUCUUGGCCACAGGUUCCUUCUCCUCUUAAUUUUGAAGUAUAUAUCUUAAAAGAUUGGGCCAAGAGUCGCAGAAGCAAGAACUUGUGGAACUCCAAGCCAGAGGUUCAGGGGAUUAUGUGUUAGAAAGAGAAAUUGUGAAUCAGUUUGCAACAGUGAAGGAUUUCCUGAUGGAAGUUGUCAAGGCGCACGCAGAAGAUGUAUUUGCAACAGGCCUUGCGCCAAAUAAUUAUGUACCUUAGCUUCUUCAAGCUACUUGUUUAAGUUGGUUAA
Molecule: long non-coding RNA, 828 nt
Organism: Beta vulgaris subsp. vulgaris (sugar beet)
Lineage: Eukaryota; Viridiplantae; Streptophyta; Magnoliopsida; Caryophyllales; Amaranthaceae
Exons: 2
Source: RefSeq, a predicted model, not a curated record